RNAcentral lists this ribosomal RNA (253 nucleotides) under uncultured bacterium. RNAcentral's name for it is "partial 16S ribosomal RNA". It matches the Rfam family "Bacterial small subunit ribosomal RNA", at positions 524 to 776 of the family's 1533-position model. The record is from RNAcentral.
GACGGGGGAUGCAAGCGGUAUGCGGAAUCACUGGGCGUAAAGCGUCUGUAGGUGGUGAUGCAAGUCACUGGUGCAAAACUCUGGCUCAACCGGAGGAAAGCCAGUGAAACUGCAUGACUAGAGUGUGGGAGAGGUAGAAGGAAUUCCCUGAGUAGCGGUGAAAUGCGUAGAUACAGGGAAGAACACCGGAGGCGAAAGCGUUCUACUGGACCUCAACUGACACUGAGAGCCGAAAGCUAGGGGAGCGAAGGGG